CGGGCAGGCUGACCCUGCAGUUACCAAGCAUGCACUCCUCAGUGAUCUGACCACCCUCCUCCUCUUUAGGCUCAAGAGGGUCUGUAAGGAUGUGAGUCAGGACAUCCAUCCUGCUCCUCCGCUGCCCCCUCACUGUUCGUCGGAAGCUACGACGCGAUUUAGUCAACCGAGCCUUCAAACGGAAGUAACUACGCUGCACUGCACGUUGCAAAUAUUUGCUUGUCUUGACAGAAGCGACAUCAUACUUUUAAAAACUAUCAAAAAGUUAUUUCUUACCUAAGCCCACCCUUUGUUUUGAUUUUAUAGAGGGGACGGUUUUAGUGACGUACCGUUUUUUUUUCUUCUGGCAGAGAAAUGACGUCGACAAGGGGAGCGCUUAGCUCGCUGUCAUCCUCUACAGGCGGUGAGGCUAAGAACAGUAAGUGCGACGAAAAAGGUGACUUCUUUACCUUUUUUCAUGUAACAACCUGUCGUAUAAAUUGUGAAACGGUAUGUGGCAAGUUCAUACCGUAAUUAAAGUCUAACUGGCGAACUGAGCAAAUGUUAUCGUUUAUGUUACAGACGAGGGUGUACCCUGCCUCUUGCCCAAAGUCAGCGAGGAUAAGCUCCAGCUCACAUAAAGAGGACGAGCGGAUGGAUAAAGUUACAUAGAGUACAUACCCUCUUCUUCAGGCUGUUGAAAUUCCAACUUCCAAUUGUUCAUUUUAGAACUUUUAUGUUCAAAAUCUCUCCUUACCCCAUCUACACAAAGUAGUUCAAAACGGUCAGA
Long non-coding RNA from Hippocampus zosterae (dwarf seahorse), 769 nucleotides. RefSeq lists it as uncharacterized. Lineage: Eukaryota; Metazoa; Chordata; Actinopteri; Syngnathiformes; Syngnathidae. The transcript is spliced from 3 exons. The record is from RefSeq and is a predicted model, not a curated record.